Molecule: ribosomal RNA, 253 nt
Filed under: uncultured bacterium
Lineage: Bacteria
Description: partial 16S ribosomal RNA
Rfam family: Bacterial small subunit ribosomal RNA
Source: RNAcentral
UACGUAGGGUGCGAGCGUUGUCCGGAAUUAUUGGGCGUAAAGGGCUCGUAGGCGGCUUGUCGCGUCGGGAGUGAAAACCCAGGGCUUAACCCUGGGCUGGCUUCCGAUACGGGCAGACUAGAGGUAUGCAGGGGAGAACGGAAUUCCUGGUGUAGCGGUGAAAUGCGCAGAUAUCAGGAGGAACACCGAUGGCGAAGGCAGGUCUCUGGGCAUUAACUGACGCUGAGGAGCGAAAGCAUGGGGAGCGAACAGG